CAAGAAUCAUUUGCAUUACUAUCCAUAUUUUUAACUUACAGAAUUGGAAAAUAGCUACAUAACCAUUCAAGGCAUGUACCAUUAUAAAAAUCAAAUAACCCAGAAAAGUGCAUUAGAUAAGUCCAUCACAGGAUACAUGCCAUAGAACACUCAAUAAUCUUUUGGGGGGAGGGCAUUUUAAUUUUUCCGGUUCUUGCAGACACUCCCAAGGUAACACCUUCCAUGGUGUUACCUAACACUAAUUAUAUGUAAAAUUCUUUGUUAUACUGAACAAAAAUUUCUCUCCCUGUAACUUCCAUUAUUUCUUGCUCCUGGCCUUUGUGCAAACACUUAAGAAAUUCAAUCACAUGAUGGUCUUUCCAGGAAGGGAGAGUUGCUAUAGGAGAGGAGCACAAUUCCCAGGCACAUGACCAGGAGGCCUGAGUUACCACGAAAUAGCUGUCACUUGACAUCACACAGCUUAUUUUCUCCUCUGUCAAAUUAAGGUACUGACCAAAACUAAUAAUUCCCAACUGUUCAAAGUCAAGACUGUCAUAUAAUCAUUAUUUUUAUUUAUAAAUCUCUCAUUUUAAAAAAAUGCCAUAUCCCCAGAAAAUAUAUAUACCAUAUAACAAGACUCUAUAAUAAGAAGCUUGGCUUCUUAUAAAAGAAUGUUUCCAUGAUGGGGGGUAAAAACAAUCUUUUUGGUCACUCUAUGUGGCUAUAGCAAAUAUGUCUAUAUUUCUCUGAAAGUUUUUAAACAUUGAAAAUACCAUAAAGAGCCCUCUUAACUGCAAUUAAAAUCCAGAAACCCAGAGAGAGAAGCCCAUUGGCACAUGUUUUUUUUUUUUUUUUUUUUUAUGGCAUUCUAUUGGAAGGUAGUUAUCAAAAACUUGGACCCUUCCCUACAACUCCUGCUAGGCAUGAAUUCUAAGUUGUUAAUUUUAUAUUAAUACUUGUUCUUUCAGGCAGAAGUGUGGAUUCCAUUCCACUGUCUGUGCAAGAAACUGAAAAAAAAAGUAAUUCUGGACAAAGGGCUCAGGCUUGUAGUCCCAGCUAUUUGGGAGAAUGAGACUGGAGGUCUCCCAAGUCUCUCUCAAGUUUGAGGCCAGCCUGAGCAACUUGGCAAGACCCUGUCUCAAGUUUUUACAAAAUGGAGAGGGCCCAGGGUUGGGAUAUAGCUCAGUGGUAGAUCACUUAGCUAGCAUGUGCAAGGCCCUGAGCUCAAUCCCCAGUACCAAAAAAAAAAAAAAAAGUCAAGUAACUGUGGGACAAGGGAUGGAGGAAGGGGUCCACGGACCGGUCAGGAAGACUGAUAGUGCACCCAGCUGGUCCACAGGAUCUUGGAGUAGGGAGUGCUCAGUAGGAGCUCCCUCUCUUGGAUGUAUUUGUAUUUUUCUGCCCUAUGAUGGUACUUGGUCUCCCACCUACUGGGUCUUAGUGCAGCUGUUUCCCCACUGGAAAAAAAAAAUAGUCAGGAUUAAUUCAAGUGUUUGCAUUUUGAUUCAUAAACCAUCAAUAUUUAAUUUCACAUUUACAAACAAACCCAAGAGAGCCUCUUGAGUUUGGGGACUCCACUUUCCUCUCUUCUCUUCCUGCUGAGCCAAUGUCUUUCCCACUGAAGAAAAGGACUGAACCUAACCCUACCUGUACAGCCACAGCUGCUGUGAGACAGGUGAGACCAUUUCUGUCUGGGAUGCCCUGAGGCAGUGUCUGCAGGGUUUGGUGCUGAGUAGAAAGAGAUAAAGGGAGCUGGAGAAUUGAAGAAGAAGGUCCUUUCUCUUCCCCACUGUAGAGAGGAAGAAUAAACCUCCUGAUUGACAGUCUCCUCCUUCUUACAGUUUGUAUUAGUUGUCAGAUGCUACCUAAGAAUUUGCUCUAAAACCUAGCUGUUUAAAACAACAAACAUUUAUUAUCUCAUAUUUUCUGCAAUUGAGAAAUCCAGGUCCAGCUUGGCAGGAUGGCUCAGCCUCAAGGUCAAGGACCUGUUUCCAAGGUUAUUCAUAUGGUUGUUGGCAGAAUUCAGUUCCUUAAGUGCUGUUGGACAGAAGGCCUUGCUGGUGAUUGGUUGGAGGAGUCCCUCAGUUCCUUGCUACAUGGUCCUCUCCAUAGAGCAGCUCACAACAUGGCAGCUAGCUUCUUUCUACCAGAGUAGGAAAGUAAGAGGGAUAAAGAGAAAGAAAGAAAAGCCCCAGAGUUGUUGAGACCUACUCUCAGAUAUGACAUUCCAUUACUUUUGCUGCAUUCUAUUAUUAGAACUGAGUCACUAGCUUCAGCACACACUCAAGGCAAGGGGAUCAUACAAGGGCAUGAAGACCAGGAGCCAAUUCAGUGGCUGCCUGACAUAGUUCAAAUCCCAAAUGAAUGCCAGAGUUUUGCAACUUCACCUCUUAGAGCUCUCUUCUCCCCCAUAUCUAACCUGGACAACUCCAACCCAGUCCCCAGACCUCAGAGUAGAAUGCUCUAAAGAAAAAAACACCUUACUCCCCAGGAGGAAGUUAGGUGUCCCUCGAAUGUGCUUCUCUGGCACCCUAGAUUCCUCCAUUGCACCCUUCCAUAUUGGAUAAUAACCUGGCCACUUGUGUCCACAGGAGAGCAACUUGUCUUUCUUGUUCACUGAUGUGGAAUCUGACCUGAACAGAGGACCAAAACGUACUAGACACUCAGUAAAUGUUUACUAAACUUAUUAAAUGAAACUUCUUAAAAUGUGGUUCUCAUCUUUCAUAUUAAAAACCAUUGUGUUCUCAUUACCAAGAGAGAGUCCAUACUCUUCUUGGAAUUGCAUUCAAGGUCUUGCCCAAUUUGGCCAAGGCCUUGCAUAAGGUCACCCCAGACACACAGCUCCACCAUCAGCCUCAGCAAACCAUCACCUCUUCUCUUAACCUAACUCAUCCUUCCAUGAGGUCCCACUUCUCUCUGCCUCUUAUGUCCUUCUUCCACGUCAAGUCUGACAAAUUCCUACUCCUCCAAGACAGAGGCUCUCUGCAUUUUACCCAGGUGGUUUCCAUACUUGUCUCUGUACACAACCUCCCAACUUGUUCAAGUCUCUUUUAAAAAAAAAAAAAAUCUUAUGUUGUCUUGAACCUAGUUUUUCACAUAACCAUUUCUCUAGAUUGACCGUGAACUGCCUGUGAGUAACAACUGGAUAUUUUUCCUCCAUAGCUCUCAUGAAAUAGGUCUGGGGAUCCUUCCCCUCUCCCUAAGGAGGAAAGAAAAACCCUUCCUGGAUUCUGGCUCUUAAAACCAAAUGCAAUUGCAACUCCACACAACUUAAAGGAUGAAUUUGGUGUUGCUGAAUUGAAUUCUAGAUUUAAAAUAAUAUGCUUUAUUGACAAAGAUGUUUUAUAUCAUGUUGUUCAGAUGUUUCCCUUACAUAAAACAUCAUAUACUAUAGGUCUGUGUCUAUGAAUUUCAAUGUAAAUUAUUUGUGCCACAAUUUGCUUUGUGUUUUUACAUAAAAUCCUCAGACCCUGCAUCCAUAAAGCCACAAAGUACUACACCAAAGAGGUUGGUAGGGAAAAUGUGAAGACUUGGUGAGGAAGACUCUGAACAAAAAGCCUAUAGUUAUUUCUGACCUGCUGAAGACAAGAUUGUUUCUUAUAGCACUUUGAAUAGAUGUCAAGACUAGCAGGAUAAUCGUAAUGAAGCACAGGAAAGAGGCACUGGGAUAAUUUUACUAAUUAAAAG
RNAcentral lists this long non-coding RNA (3666 nucleotides) under Marmota monax (woodchuck). The record is from RNAcentral. Lineage: Eukaryota; Metazoa; Chordata; Mammalia; Rodentia; Sciuridae.